CGCACCCACCCCCCAGCCUCAUUUUAAUUCCAACUCUCUUUUUAUUCCAAAUUUUGUUGUUCAUUAGACACACACUUUCAGCAUGCACACUCACUACUCUACAUACACCAAGCCUGAUGAUAGCAAGGAAGGGAGGGAGAGCCGAAGCGAGGGAGAGAAUGAGCGAGUGAGAGGACGCCAUUUAAGCAGUUUGUUACGAGCACUGCCAGUCCCCAAAAUGGCUGAAAACAAACAGGAGCCAUGCCAACAGAAAAAAAGCUUGGCCAUAGAGACAAGGAGGGAAAGAGAUAAAGAGUAGGAGUGGGGAGAAAGAGAGAGACGCCAGACAAUACUUGGGUAAAACUCUUUAGAUAAGUGAGGUAGCCAAAAGAGAGAUCAAAGAGAAGGGCAUGGACAUGAACUUUGGUUUCCAUUUUCUCCUCUCUCCACUUCCUUGACUAAAGAAGAGUACGUUUAUGGCAAGAAGCGUUGGAAUAGAGUGGUAAACAUUGAAGUUUUUGGCCGAGGCAGCCUUCUAUGACAGAUUUGGCCUUCUCGCAGAGCAGAGAAAUAGCACCUCUGUACUUUUUGUCCUGCCCUCGUUUGCUGAAUCACUCCAUCUGGCAUUUGCUGGAUAGAUUGAUCCUAAUUACUCUCAAUUUAUAGCUACUGACAAGUUCAGGAACCACUUGUUUUAAAAUGGCAUUGUGUGUGGAGAACUCUUUAAAACAGUCUGUCUUGACAUUCAGAAAAAAAUUUCAAGCCCAAACGACCUGCGGAGGGCAGGGCAACAGGAUAAGGAAAAUGAGAGUUCAUACUGAAAUUUUUUCUCGUUUCGCUCUUCCUCUUCUGUCUGCUUUUUUCAUGGCCAAAUUUCUGCCGAACAGCUCAUUAUAUACCCCCCAUCCUACGUUCCUUUCCCCUGUGCCCCUCGGUCCUUCUCUCUAUUUUUCCUUUCUCUUUCGCACUCCUUCUUUUUCUUUUCUAUUGUAUGCCAGCCCACUUGUCUCCAUGGGAACGCUGCUUGGAAGAGGUGUAGUUCUUAUGAUCUCUCCGACUUGUUGGAACUUUGUCACUUUUCUCACACUUCUAUGUGGUUCUUAUUGUGAGCUUGAUUACAGAACUUUCAGUUCACAUGCUUGUUUUAAAUAGUUUCUUUCUAUUUGGAGUUUAUCAAGUUCAGGUAACCAAGUAAAAGUGGAGUAAAACUGAUUCUACUUUUUCUUGAGCUGUUGGGUAAUUGAAACAAGGAUAUAAGAAACUCAAAAAUGCAAGACAUUUCCCCACAGUCAAUAUUAAAAGCAUGGUGCUUAUGUUAAGAUAUGUAGACAAUAGAUGUUUUAUCACUCAGUGUGGAUAAGGAAGUUUAGUUGUUGAUAAGGAAGUUCGUAUGAAGUAUUUGAUUUAAGGUACCUUUGGGAUAAGAUCUUGGUUCAGUUUGAUAGCAAAUGUUCAAGGAUCAUGCAUUAAGCAAAAGUACAUUGAUAUAUUUUAUAUUAUUUAAAUACUAUUUUAACUAAAAAACAACAACAAAUAGGCCAGACAGAGGUGGUCUUCACAAACCGUCCUCUUGUAUCACCCAUUAAACUCUGUAAACACGCUUUGUCAUAUUCUAAAUGGUGAUUAUAUUUGUUGUUUGAUUGCCUCUAAUCUUUGUCUGCUGUGAAUAUAGGUGGCUGAAAUGUUCCCUGCUCAGUGUUGAUCAAAGGCUGUCUUUAACAUGACAUAUGGAUCAGCAGACACUAAUGAGAGGGCAGUGGCCAGCUGAAUCUCCACAGUAACAAAAGAGGCUGGGACAUCUGGAGUCAGCCACACACAGACUCCUGGAACUCCCACAAACAGAGGAGCAGUCACGAUGUGGAGACCAGGAGAUUCGACUUGGGAAAAGGAGGCAGCAUCAGAGAUAAUCCAAGGAGUUAUGGACAGUUUCCCAAGCUUACUUAUGGAGCCUUGUGAUUACUAAACUGGAACAAAAGGCUUCCCUGAGAACUCAUGAUCAAAGCACAGCCCAUUUUCUGCUUGAUUGUGGCUUCUGCUUGGA
Carassius carassius (crucian carp) is the source of this 2020-nucleotide long non-coding RNA. RefSeq lists it as uncharacterized. NCBI's taxonomy places the organism in Eukaryota, Metazoa, Chordata, Actinopteri, Cypriniformes, Cyprinidae. The record is from RefSeq and is a predicted model, not a curated record. The transcript has 3 exons.